Molecule: ribosomal RNA, 467 nt
Filed under: uncultured Flavobacterium sp.
Lineage: Bacteria; Pseudomonadati; Bacteroidota; Flavobacteriia; Flavobacteriales; Flavobacteriaceae
Description: bacterial SSU rRNA
Rfam family: Bacterial small subunit ribosomal RNA
Source: RNAcentral
AGAGUUUGAUCCUGGCUCAGGAUGAACGCUAGCGGCAGGCUUAACACAUGCAAGUCGAGGGGUAUUGGUUUUCGGACCAAGAGACCGGCGCACGGGUGCGUAACGCGUAUGCAAUCUACCUUUUGCAGAGGGAUAGCCCAGAGAAAUUUGGAUUAAUACCUCAUAGUAUAGUACAAUCGCAUGAUUGAACUAUUAAAGUCACAACGGCAAAAGAUGAGCAUGCGUCCCAUUAGCUAGAUGGUAAGGUAACGGCUUACCAUGGCAACGAUGGGUAGGGGUCCUGAGAGGGAGAUCCCCCACACUGGUACUGAGACACGGACCAGACUCCUACGGGAGGCAGCAGUGAGGAAUAUUGGACAAUGGGCGCAAGCCUGAUCCAGCCAUGCCGCGUGCAGGAUGACGGUCCUAUGGAUUGUAAACUGCUUUUGCACAGGAAGAAACACUCGGUCGUGACCGAGCUGACGGUA